AAGCUCAAAUUUGAAAUCUGGCACCUUCGGUGUCCGAGUUGUAAUUUGAAGAAGCUACUUUGGGGCUAGUCUUCGCCAUGUUCCUUGGAACCGGACGUCCUGAGGGUGAAAAUCCCGUACGGAGAGGAGUCUAGUCCUAUGUAAAGUGCUUUCGACGAGUCGAGUUGUUUGGGAAUGCAGCUCUAAGUGGGUGGUAAAUUCCAUCCAAAGCUAAAUAUAGGUGAGAGACCGAUAGCGAACAAGUACAGUGAGGGAAAGAAGAAAAGAACUAAGAAAAGAGAGUGAAAAAGUACGUGAAAUUGUUGAAAGGGAAGGGCAUUUGAUCAGACAUGGUGUUUUGCGACCCUCGCUCCUUGUGGGUGGGGAUCUCGCAGCUCACUGGGCCAACAUCAGUUUUGGCGGUGGCAUAAAUCUUGCGAACGUGGCUGCUUCGGAGAAGCGUUAUACCCCAGGGGAAUACUCCAGCCGGACUGAGACUGCGACUUUUCACG
This 491-nucleotide ribosomal RNA is filed under the name Lachancea sp. SW109. Its description in RNAcentral is "eukaryotic LSU rRNA". It matches the Rfam family "Eukaryotic large subunit ribosomal RNA", at positions 104 to 603 of the family's 3401-position model. The record is from RNAcentral. RNAcentral also lists the same sequence under 1 other name. Lineage: Eukaryota; Fungi; Ascomycota; Saccharomycetes; Saccharomycetales; Saccharomycetaceae.